GGCGGACGGGUGGAGUAAUAUGUAGGAAAUCUGCCCUAGAGAGGGGGACAACAGAGGGAAACUUCUGCUAAUACCCCAUAUGAGCUUAGUUGAAAUACUAAUCUUGAAAACUCCGGUGCUCUAGGAUGAGCCUGCAUCUGAUUAGCUAGUUGGUGGUGUAAUGGACCACAAAGGCGACGAUCAGUAGCUGGUUUGAGAGGAUGAUCAGCCACAAUGGGACUGAGACACGGCCCAUACUCCUACGGGAGGCAGCAGUAGGGAAUUUUGCGCAAUGGGGGAAACCCUGAACCGCAGCAACACCGCGUGAAUGUUAAGCCCUUCGGGGUAUAAAGUUCUGUCAAUGGGGAAGAAUAAAUGACUGUACCCAUAAAGGAAGCACCGGCUAACUCCGUGCCAGCAGCUGC
RNAcentral lists this ribosomal RNA (404 nucleotides) under uncultured bacterium. Its description in RNAcentral is "bacterial SSU rRNA". It matches the Rfam family "Bacterial small subunit ribosomal RNA", at positions 97 to 518 of the family's 1533-position model. The record is from RNAcentral.